This is a long non-coding RNA of Anneissia japonica, 843 nucleotides long. RefSeq lists it as uncharacterized. NCBI's taxonomy places the organism in Eukaryota, Metazoa, Echinodermata, Crinoidea, Comatulida, Comatulidae. The transcript is spliced from 3 exons. The record is from RefSeq and is a predicted model, not a curated record.
UAGACGACAGACAGUGACAUAAAUAGACUACUUAUCUCACGUUGUGUUAUUUUAGAUCAGGGAAAUGGCACGAACUGUGUAAAGCUCACCUAGGCCUACACUACUAUACUACUAGGACCACAAAAGGAGAUUGUAGUGUUAUUGUAGAGAGUAUAUUUCAAGCUCUGCAUCCACGUGGGCGUCAGACUGCCAUGGAGGAGUUUUGGAUGAUUUUCAUAAAUCUGAUUGGUCCGAUAAAACUACUCAACCGAUCAAUAUAUUUAGAAUACAUUUAGAAGACAAAAAGGGCUUUCGAAUGGACUUUUCCAAAAAGAAAUCGGCCCACAACUUUCGACUGUAGAGGGAUUUAUGUUAAAGACAGCUGGGAUAUUUGGGCAGAUUUCACUGUUUUUACGCUGAAAAAAUACACGAGUGGGUUUGAUAAAAAUAAAAAGUCCGAUAAAGGUGUUAACAUUAUAAUUAUAAAUUUGUAAUUGUUGUAAUGAUUAUUAAAUUCCGAUUAGUUUUAUCUUUUCCCAAAAUAAAUCGAUGAAGUAUUUGCGAAGUUAUUACAAACAGAAGUUGAAAAAUGACCAAAUUUAGUGGUUUUUGGCGACCUUCACUGCCGUUUUAUCGAAUUUAGACAUGAAACAUUGUCGUAAUGCGGGGGCUUCGUCCCCUGGAACACUUUCGAGUGAUUUUUAUGCGACGCCCGACCACCCAUUUUUCUUUCGUCGGGGACGUUGGUCCCCCCCCCCCUUAUCGGGGACAUCGGACCCCAUCGGGCAAAUACUGGCUCCAUCCCUGGUAGGUCUCUACUGAAACUUAACUAUCACUAGCACUCAAAUGUAACUUUAUACUCAA